Molecule: unclassified non-coding RNA, 89 nt
Filed under: Pseudomonas libanensis
Lineage: Bacteria; Pseudomonadati; Pseudomonadota; Gammaproteobacteria; Pseudomonadales; Pseudomonadaceae
Source: RNAcentral
UGUGGGAGCGGGCUUGCUCGCGAAGGCGGAGUGUCAGUCGACAUUUAUUUGACUGAUCUACUGCAUUCGCGAGCAAGCCCGCUCCCACA